AUUGAACGCUGGCGGCAGGCCUAACACAUGCAAGUCGAGCGAUUCUCUUCGGAGAAGAGCGGCGGACGGGUGAGUAACGCGUGGGUAACCUGCCCUGUACACACGGAUAACAUUCCGAAAGGUAUGCUAAUACGAGAUAAUAUGCUUUUAUCGCAUGGUAGAAGUAUCAAAGCUUUUGCGGUACAGGAUGGACCCGCGUCUGAUUAGCUAGUUGGUAAGGUAAUGGCUUACCAAGGCGACGAUCAGUAGCCGACCUGAGAGGGUGAUCGGCCACAUUGGAACUGAGACACGGUCCAAACUCCUACGGGAGGCAGCAGUGGGGAAUAUUGCACAAUGGGCGAAAGCCUGAUGCAGCAACGCCGCGUGAGCGAUGAAGGCCUUCGGGUCGUAAAGCUCUGUCCUCAAGGAAGAUAAUGACGGUACUUGAGGAGGAAGCCCCGGCUAACUACGUGCCAGCCGCCGCAGUAA
RNAcentral lists this ribosomal RNA (468 nucleotides) under uncultured bacterium. Its description in RNAcentral is "partial 16S ribosomal RNA". It matches the Rfam family "Bacterial small subunit ribosomal RNA", at positions 30 to 523 of the family's 1533-position model. The record is from RNAcentral.